AUGGGUGCUAGGUUUACCUGGACUAACCGUCAGGCUGACCCGACACGCUCCAUUCUGGAUCACGUCCUAGUUUCCCCUAAAUGGGAACUCCGGUGCCCCCUGGCCUCGCUUCACGCGAUCACCCGAAUUGGGUCCGAUCAUGUCCCCCUCCUCCUUUCUUCCGCUGAUGAACGGCCUCCCACCCCACCUCGAUUCCGCUUUGAGGUCUUCUGGCUCAACUAGGUCAGGUUCGUGGAGGCGGUUCGGACUAGGUGGGCGGCGGCUAGGACCUCCCCCCACCGCUCCAUCUCCGCGGUGGACACGUGGCAGUUCUACGCCAAGCUUGCCCGACAGUUUAUGAAGGGCUGGGGCGCUAACCUCGGGCGGGACCUUCGCGAGCGCAAGAAGGCCCUCUUGUCCGCCAUCCAGGCGCUUGACUCCCGUGCUGACACCUCUGGGAUCUCCCCUGAUGAGUGGAUGCUACGAUAUGAUCUUGAGGACCAGCUAUCGGUCAUCUACACUGACGAAGAAGCAUACUGGAGGCUCCGCGGCACCCAACGGUGGGUCCUUCGCGGAGAUGAUAAUACGGCAUACUUCCAGGCGAUCGCCAAUGGGCGGCAGCAGCGGAACUCCAUCCACUGUUUAUGGGACGGAGACACCUCUCUGCACCGCCCAGCGGAUAUCCAGGUUCAUGUAGACGGCUUCUAA
This 687-nucleotide ribosomal RNA is filed under the name Triticum aestivum (bread wheat). RNAcentral's name for it is "partial small subunit ribosomal RNA". Lineage: Eukaryota; Viridiplantae; Streptophyta; Magnoliopsida; Poales; Poaceae. The record is from RNAcentral.